CACAGCUUUCCUGGAGGAAAUGGAAUGAGGACAUGGAAGGAAGAGGGAGGCAGAGGCCUACAUUCUCCUCCAGCUCUGCCCUUUUUCCAGCCCAGCCUCUUGGAUCCUCAGUCUUUCCAUCAGAAACACCUGAGCCCCUGAGGAAAGGGAGCAUGCUGCAAGGACCUCUACGGUGAUGUUCAGGGAGAGGGAUGCACCUGCAGCCUCUCCAUAGCAUGAAGGGCAAAACAUCAAUACACAGGCAGAGUCCUCAGGGUUUCCCGUGUCAAAUGGAGCUCUCCAAGUUCUGAUGUGAGUGGGGAGAAGAGACACCAUUGAUGACAAAACCCCAGAGGUGAGAAGGAAGGAAGGAUGGACUUUUACUGUCACUGUUUCCCGAAAUACAUUUCACAGGGUAAUAGUACAUUUAAAAAAAGAGUGUACGGUAUAAGAUUUGGGAACUCAUUGGUUGAAUUAAAUUAAGCUUUUUAAAUCUCAAGGGGAAGCUCACAUAUGCAGUCUUUACCAACAAAUGGGACCACUGAACUGCUUUUCCACUGAGCAUCUUGCAGGAUCAGUGCUUGGUGGAAGCCAUUUUGGAAACUGCUGAUAUUCACUGGAGAACUAUAAAAUAUAAGACCUAG
Homo sapiens (human) is the source of this 623-nucleotide long non-coding RNA. RefSeq lists it as uncharacterized. The record is from RefSeq and is a predicted model, not a curated record. The transcript is spliced from 3 exons. Lineage: Eukaryota; Metazoa; Chordata; Mammalia; Primates; Hominidae.